Molecule: ribosomal RNA, 1420 nt
Filed under: uncultured bacterium
Lineage: Bacteria
Description: bacterial SSU rRNA
Rfam family: Bacterial small subunit ribosomal RNA
Source: RNAcentral
AGGGUUUGAUCAUGGCUCAGAUUGAACGCUGGCGGCAGCCCUUACACAUGCAAGUCGAGCGAGAAAGUUUCUUCGGAAGCGAGUAAAGCGGCGGACGGGUGAGUAACGCGUAGGAAUCUACCAUUCAGUGGGGGAUAGCUCGGGGAAACCCGAAUUAAUACCGCAUAUACCCUAAGGGGGAAAGAGGGCCUAUCCUUGGAAGCUCUUGCUGUUUGAUGAGCCUGCGUGAGAUUAGUUUGUUGGUGAGGUAAUGGCUCACCAAGACUACGAUCUCUAGCUGGUCUGAGAGGACGAUCAGCCACACUGGGACUGAGACACGGCCCAGACUCCUACGGGAGGCAGCAGUGGGGAAUAUUGGACAAUGGGGGCAACCCUGAUCCAGGCAUGCCGCGUGUGUGAAGAAGGCCUUCGGGUUGUAAAGCACUUUAGGUAAGGAAGAAAAGUUAUUGGUUAAUACCUAAUGACCGUGACAUUACUUACAGAAUAAGGACCGGCUAACUCCGUGCCAGCAGCCGCGGUAAUACGGAGGGUCCAAGCGUUAAUCGGAAUUACUGGGCGUAAAGCGCGCGUAGGCGGUUUGACAAGUUGGGUGUGAAAUCCCCGGGCUUAACCUGGGAACUGCAUUCAAAACUUUUAAACUGGAGUACGGGAGAGGAGAGUAGAAUUCAUGGUGUAGCGGUGAAAUGCGUAGAUAUCAUGAGGAAUACCAAUGGCGAAGGCAACUCUCUGGACCGUAACUGACGCUGAGGUGCGAAAGCGUGGGUAGCAAACAGGAUUAGAUACCCUGGUAGUCCACGCCGUAAACGAUGACAACUAGCCGUUGGACUUUCGGGUUCAGUGGCACAGCUAACGCAUUAAGUUGUCCGCCUGGGGAGUACGGCCGCAAGGCUAAAACUCAAAUGAAUUGACGGGGGCCCGCACAAGCGGUGGAGCAUGUGGUUUAAUUCGAUGCAACGCGAAAAACCUUACCAACCCUUGACAUCUAGUGAAAUUUCUAGAGAUAGAUUUGUGCCUUCGGGAACACUAAGACAGGUGUUGCAUGGCUGUCGUCAGCUCGUGUCGUGAGAUGUAUGGUUAAGUCCAGUAACGAGCGCAACCCUUAUCCUUAUUUGCCAGCACUUCGGGUGGGAACUCUAAGGAGACUGCCGUGAAUAACACGGAGGAAGGUGGGGACGACGUCAAGUCAUCAUGGCCCUUACGGAUAGGGCUACACACGUGCUACAAUGGGCAGUACAAAGGGUAGCGAAGCCGCGAGGUGGAGCCAAUCCCAAAAAGCUGUUCUCAGUCCGGAUUGGAGUCUGCAACUCGACUCCAUGAAGUCGGAAUCGCUAGUAAUCGUGAAUCAGAAUGUCACGGUGAAUACGUUCCCGGGCCUUGUACACACCGCCCGUCACACCAUGGGAGUUGGUUCUACCUUAAG